This is a long non-coding RNA of Tympanuchus pallidicinctus (lesser prairie-chicken), 640 nucleotides long. RefSeq lists it as uncharacterized. The record is from RefSeq and is a predicted model, not a curated record. The transcript is spliced from 4 exons. NCBI's taxonomy places the organism in Eukaryota, Metazoa, Chordata, Aves, Galliformes, Phasianidae.
UUGUGCCACCCAGUUGGAGUCAGCUUUGUGAUUUGUAAUCAGCUUCAGCCAGAGCGUUACCAGUGCUGUUGCUGCUUGUGUUCCUGUGCAAGGCCUGCUGUGCCAUCCCCCAGGCAGUGCCCUGCAGAUGGGCUGUGGAGGGCUGGGCUGGGACAGGGACUGCUGCGUUCCCUCACAGCUCCCCUGCCAUUUCUCUUGUCCCUGCAGGCUCCAGUUCAACUCUGCCUUCCAGCCAUGAUCAGCUCAGCUGCAGGGGAGCAGCAGAUGGCCACAGCACAUGCAUCUCAGGAGCCCGUGAGCUUUGCGGAGGUGGCCGUGUCUUUCAGCAGGGAGGAGUGGGCGCUGCUGGACCCUGCGCAGCGAGCGCUGUACCGGGACGUGAUGCUGGAGACGUACCAGUGCGUGGCCUCGCUGGCUCCACUUCCAGCCUCCAAACCCAUGGUGAUCUCCCUGCUUGAAGGAGGGGAAGAGCCCUGGAUCCCAGAUGUGCGUAGCCCUGAGGCCGUGCCAGGAGACUUCAGCCCAGCAGGAACUGGGAUUGCAGAUAUACUGGAGGACCUGCAGGAAAGUGGUGUGGCCGAAAGGCGGUGGGGUGGUGUCUGUGUGGAAGAAAUCAGAAGUGAUGUCCAAGGAGUCCUGG